This is a long non-coding RNA of Cebus imitator (Panamanian white-faced capuchin), 2011 nucleotides long. RefSeq lists it as uncharacterized. The record is from RefSeq and is a predicted model, not a curated record. NCBI's taxonomy places the organism in Eukaryota, Metazoa, Chordata, Mammalia, Primates, Cebidae. The transcript has 3 exons.
CUGUCCCUGGCUUCGCGCGCCUCUCCUGGGCUGCCGUCUCCCAACCAAUCGGCUGUGCUCUCUGCUACGUGUGGCGUCACACGUAGUGGCCAAGAUGGCGCCGGCGGUUCGAGCGGUGGCUUUGCUGCGACCUUUAGCGAGGUUAGGGACCAUGGGAGAGCAGCUUUGCUCCUGAAGUGCCGUCGAGGAUUAGGAUCGAGUCUCUUCGAUCCCGAGGGCAAUUAUUAGCGGCGUCUAGCCCCCUAGACGGCAUCUCGAGAGGGAAUCCACCGUGCGAGAAUUGAUAAAGAGGUCAUCGCAGGUGUCCGUAGCCGAUUUGCGGGUUACGGAGUUGCGAGUAGAGAAGGGGAAAUCCGAGCGUUCUCGACCUGGGUUUCCUCCACGUGUGAAGUGGGAAUGGUAGUGAUAUUUUGUGCUAUCUCUGUCAAGGGCAAGAAGGAGAAGGAAUUUAUUUGAGGCCCUACGACGUGAAGCCAAUCCUAGCAGCCAAGCACACUCAGAAGCUGUAAAGGGGCUACAGAGGAGGAGCUGAUGGAGACGUCUACAGAAGGCUGUGGAUCCACUGCACAUGUCUGGUGCUGGUUUGGACUACUAUUGGUCAGCAGGGUCAGCAGUCAGGAAGAGCUGGAUAUGGAGUGGAGGAGAGUGAACCUGCUGGUGCCUUCUCAAUUGUUGCUGUAAGGAACACCCAUGACCUUCGGAGAGCAAUGGCUGCCGAUUCACUUCUGCCUCCCAGAUCUCAAGCAACUGUCACGCUUAACUGACUUUAACCUAGAACCAUACAGUUGCAGCUUAACCAAGCUGACACACAUACAUUUCCUCCAUAACCAUAAAGUGAUUUCUGUCUUCUCCCAGUUUCCUACAGUGGAAAAAAAUUGGACUUGAUUUGCUGUAUAAAGAAUGAUGACUUCACUGGGCCACCUUACUUUUGUAAAACCUUGUAAUGCUCACAGACCGUCAAGCAGGAAUGUGCUGGGUGUGCUAGUCUUAAAGAAGGUGUAGGAGACAUGCACGUGUCUGUCCAGAGAUUGUCAAACUGAGGCCAACACUGACUCUCAGAGCCUCAAGUAAGUGAUGAAUCAAGUAGAAAGAAAUUGGGAGGACACAAAAAAGAGCUUGUCAGGGGCCACAGGCAGUUAAUGGUGAGAGUUCUCUGCAACCAGUGACAGCAUAGAGGAAAUGCAGCACAACCGCCAAGUCCAGGUUCUGGGGCCUAAAGACCAGAGCCACUCCCUGUACUCAUGCAGAACAGUCCAGCUUCUCAGUAAGAGGGUUGCUGGGUCCUUCAGACUCGUUCCUGCUUCCCCCCACCCCACCCUCACAUCCUGGGACUGCACUGCACUUCCACUAAUCUGAACCCUCCUGGCCUCCCAGAGUCUUGAACUGCUGCUUCUGAGCUCCGUGUAGCUGGUGAAAGGAGGCUGCCUUGGCCUCCUUGGGGGCCUCCUGUCUUCAGUGAUGAUUCUCUGCAGCUUAGCUCUGGCAGUCUUACCUCCUCUCCCCAUGUAAUGGAUCCCAGUCCUCUGGUUCUGUCAGCACCUCUGCUGUGUACACUAUGACAUGUGUGAGCUCCCAGCUGGGUGGGAACCCUAGGGAGGUGUGAGUUUCCUCCCAAGCCAUUGAAGUUGCCUUUCUGCAGUAAGGUCUGCUGGUCUUAGAAAAAGUGCUUUCACUAUAUGGUCAGAGAGAAGGGAUCCCCUAAGCCUUCAUAUUGAUCUCUCUGCUCCUCCAUCUUUUCCUACCUCAAUUCUGCUUGUACCUGUAGAAUAACUAUAUAUUAAAACAUAAUGCUAAAUAUGUCAUGUUUCUUAUCAAAAGUCUUGAGCAGCUCCUCAUUUCCUACCAAAUUCAAACCAAAUUAUCUGCCCUGGCUGGUUGGACGUGUCCCAGGCUGACCCCAAAAUGCUAUUUUCUAGGCUUAUCUCCCACUACAAAUAACAAAUGCUGCCAGGCACGGUAGCUCAUGCCUGUAAUCCCAAUAUUUUGGGAGGCUGAGACGGGUGGAUCACCU